AUGAAUCCAGCUUGUGUCAAAUUGGCAAAUGCUACCCAGAACAGCACCCUAAUCCUGCAGAGUUGGGUUGCUUAUUCUCAGCCGCAUCCCUGAGCAUCCCUGCUUUUAUUUCUUAUCAUUGCCUGAUUCUAUGUUCAAAAUGCCUCCAAAGUGCCAACCUGGGACUGUGCAGGUGCCACAAACUCCUCAUAGUUUGAUCUCUGUGCCUAUCAAUUUUUGCAAUGCUGGAAUGGGAGCCAAGUCGAGAACACAUUAGUCUAGCAUUCUACCUGAGCACUGAGCUAGACCCAUAGCACUUACCAUUUUUAUUUAAGGGAAGGAUUCUUGGAACAGUAGAAUAGAAAUCUCUACUGGUACUCCCACCACAUGCAUGGUGUCUUCUCCUAUGACUUUUGCCCAUUUUAUGUGAAACAAAGACCACAGCCUAGGCUUUAUUCAGGAAGGAAAGCAGAAACCAAAAGCCUUCCCCAGGAUGGAGAAUUCUCAGGAGGAAGAGCACACAGGUGUGGGUCCAGCCCAUCAGGGAGUAGGUUUGUUCACAUACAGAGUUGGCCGGAACCAGCCACCCACUGCUCUUGGCUUUCAAAGGGAACAGUGUGUGCCUGGCAUCCAGAUGCCCCCUGUGAACAGCGAAGAGGCACUGAUGGAUGGCUGUGCCACAAUGAGAAAUGGAUCAAUGUAUCAUCUCACCCAGUAUUGGCAUUCUCACUGAGAAAGGAGGCACAGCAGAGGUCUUACGCAUGGAUUCCAGCUUUGCCUGUUGGGAGGACCUUCCCUCAUAGAUAAUAGGAUUGCAGCCUCACCUCUCUUGGAGUCCCUUCCUAUCAUAGCAUGUGGAUGGGGGUGGUGUGGGCAUCUUCCCCAGAAGGCCUCAGUUGAGAUCAAAGAGACCUUGCGUAUCCAUUUGAGCCUACUGCUGUGGCAACGACUUGCUGGGAUUCACGUAGUAAUGUGUGAGGCUCUGACAGCACUGAGAUCUGCCUUUAUAGUCUUUAGGUUUGUUUUCCUGAAUGAAUAGGUUGACCAGUGCCCAAAAGCAGAGCUCAUGCAACAUUCCACUGCUGCUGGGUUCAGCUCAAAGCAGACCCCACACCACUGGCUAAUGGAAGACUGUGCUGCAGAGGUGGUAGAGAGCCCUGCCUAGAAAGACUGAAGUCUUGAGAGUUCCUAUUGUUCUUGGGGUUCUCAGAAGAACCAAAUGCCCCUGAACUCACCUUGGCUCCUGUUUCCAAGUCUCACUGGAACCCAGGAACUCAGGUCCCUCAAGCCUGUAGCACUAACUGUGCCUGUCUGCAUCCCUACUUGCGAUACUCUUCUGCCUGCAGGUCCAUUCACUCACUACCACAAAUACCCACAUCCUGAACAUAGCCGGUGAACCUUGUCUUGCUUUCUGCCUGUGGGUGGAGCUGGCUUCCCACAGCUGCCUCCAUCAGUCAGCUCAGCACGGACAGCCAGCGGGUGCUCCUCUAAUCAGAGCCACAAAACUUCUCCCUCUUACUUGGCUUCCCAUGACAUGCAGCUCACCAGAAGCUGGGUUACAUGUGUCUAGUGGCUAUACCUCCCCCAACCUCCAUCUCACCCCAUCGGUCCAUCUGCUUUAUGUCAAGUACUAUGCUGGCAGUGGGAUGAAGGGAGGCUGGAGUCAUUGGAAGCAUCCUCCUGGAGCCACGUCUUGUGGACAACAGACCUGGGAUCAGCAAAUGGAGAAUGCCUUCUUUCCAGCCAUAUAAAGGAUACACUUCAGAGAAGGGCCUUACAGAAGGGCUUUCUUGUUUAUCUUUCAGGGCCUGUGACAGGGUACCCUCACACAGCUGCUGGCCUAACUAGACCUACUGGGGAACAGAAAGUAGAGUUUCUCAGUAGCAGGGGUAGCUUUUGAGUUAGGCUGCGCCAUGCACAUGAGGCCUAGAAAGACACCGUAGAGCACAGGGAUCCCAUUGGAGCUUUCGGUGAGGACCAUGACAAUGACAAAGGAUUCCGAGCUUGAAGGAUGUAAAAUUCAAGAAUCUAUGCAGGAUCUAACUGGAAGAAGCAUCUUUUAGUCCCAUCUGCACCUUCUGGGAGUGCUGCCUCCCCGGCUGCAUGGGGUCCUUGGCCAUGCUGGUCACUCUGGUAGGCUUGCCCAUUCUUUCUACCAUGUCCUAGGGACCUCCUAUUCUGUCUCUGUGCAUAGAUGUGCAGAAGGUCCCUGGGACUUGAACAAACUUCCCCUUCAUCAGCUAGUUACCUUCCCAGAGCUCCAUCUCUCAUACCAUAACGAGACAGAAACAUGAGUUCCUGAGGUACACAGACCGAACAUUAUGUCUCCCCUGCCUCUCACCAGCAAUAGUUGUCCCUGACUCCUCUCCUGAGUUCUUCACCAUGGUUCUUCCUUCUAGGUGACCCAAGAGCUGGUAUUGAAUAAGGCUCAUUUUAUUAGGGACCAACACCACCAACCAAAAACCAUAUCGCACCAGAGAAGGGAGUAUGACGUCACAUGCCUCCUCUCUGGUAAAUACAAAACUCAAGGAAAACAACAAGUGUUUGGACUUUGCUGAGGACACAGUUAAUAUUUGCAUCAGAGGACCAUCAACACAUGGAAAAGGUGCUAAUCCAGGCAGUCCACCUGAGUACAGAGGAGGAGGAGCGCUGAAUGACUGAAAACUGCCUCUUCUUACUACAAGCAGAAUGUCCUUCCUUGACUGCGUUCUUCCGCCUGGGCAGGAUGCCUGUCUUGAAGAGUCCUUUAAUUUAUCAGUGAAGGUUCUAUUCUUGGAGCUUUAUUUCAGAUGAAGACUUGCUGCCUUAGCCAUCUCUGUGGAAAUGGGGCCAAGAAGACCUGUGGACAGCAGCGCCUAAUGCAUCUUUGGGAAUGCUUCAUCUGCCCAACAUUGUGGAACAAGAGGACGUGCUAUACAGAAGACUUUCUCAAAUAGCUAGCAUUUGCCAACUUGAGCUGCAAAGCACAGAUACACAAGCCAAUUCUGAUAGACUCAGAAAUACUUGCAAGCAUUUCUAAGGGUCUCAGAACUGUUGACAUUUCUUUCUCACUGGACCAAGGACUCUACCGACACCAAGUACCAGAUGCAGAACUGAAGCCCUAGGCUGUACCUGUAGGUCAUGGAGGAGCACCUGCUCGAACUGUUCACUAAGAGUCAACAAAGAUGAGAGCCAUCUAGAACAUUCCUCACAAGGUCUGAGGGAAUAGUUGAGGCCAUCUGGCAUGUGUCCUUGCUCAUGAAGAUAUAUGAGAAUGACAGAGGCCAGGCCUGAGGAAGAUGGUGGAUGCUAGAGAGAGUGGACAGCAACUGGAUGGAAAGUGGAAGACUGAUGUGCAACCCUGAGUCCUAAUCAGCUGGCUCAGAGCCCCUGUGAGCAGACAUUGUGCUAUAAAGAACCCUAAUGUAAGCAGACACUUUGUAGGGCUCUAAUAUGCUAUCCUGUGUUCCCUAUAAGUAUACACUAUACAGAAGCCUAGUAUCCCACCCUGGGAUCCCCAAAGAGUAUUCAGUGUACAUAAUCCUGAAACCUGAAUCAGACAAAGCUGUUUAUUUAUGACAUCAUACUGAGACUGAGGCAAAACCACUUCUGGGAUCAUUCCUGGACAUUACAAAGAUAAGUCCACAGCAGCCACAGAUGCCACUUCCCUGGCUCAUUUGAUGACUAGAAGAGCUGCUGCUUUCCUCAGGCUUCCUGUCAGAGACUCCUAUCCAGUUGAACACCCUUUCAGGGUCCCAGCGGGCCUUUGUCUUAGUUAUAGUUUCUAUUGCUGACCAUGAACAAAAGCAACUUGGGGAGGAAAGAAUCUAUUUCAUUCUAUAGCCAUAUAUAGUCCAUCAUCUAGGGAAAUGAGGGUAGGAGCUCAAGACUGGCACUGAUGCAUAGACCAUGGAAGACUGCCUGCUCACUUAUAACGUGAUCACCCUGCUCUUCUACACCACCGAUGACCACCCAUCAAAGGGUGUCACCACCUAUGGUGAGCUGGACCUAAUCAUCAACCAUCAGUCAAGAAAAAGCACCAUAGGCUUGUUCGUAGGCUAAUCUUGUUAGGAGCAUUUUCUCAAUUUAGAUUCCCUCCUCCAAAAUGGCUGUAGCUUGUGUCGAGUUGACAGAGAACUAGCCAGCACAGACUUAGUAGCAUCUAUAUUCCUACUUCCCUACCAAAAACCUACCUCAGCUCCCUGUCCUGUGUCUGUCUCAUAUUAAAUUCAUUAAGUCCCAGAAUUUUCUUGAGUGUGCCCUGGGUGGUCACAGGCAGAAGGGUAUCCUCUACAUCCUGAGUUGGGACAUCACUGCAAGGCUUGGGGCAGCUAGCAAGCAGGGGCAUGCACAGGGGCUGUGAGGACUGACAAUUCAGCAGGGUAGAUGGGGAGAAUGCAGCUGCCUUUGUGGGAACUAUCUGGCCCAAACAAUAAUUUCCACAGUAACCAGGAAUGUAGAUGGGUACUAAACCCCAGGCCAUGAAGCAUGUUUUAUUCCUAGAUACCCCCAAAAGAAACUGAAUCCCAUCCCACAUGGCUUCAAUGGAGCCCUCUCUUCUGCCUUCAAAGGUAGGAAUUGAAAAGAGAAUACUGAAGUAAAUGCUUCCCUGUUUAGCCAGCCCUGGGUGAGCAUGCGGUACACAAGCUGGAGCUAUCACAG
This 4620-nucleotide small RNA is filed under the name Rattus norvegicus (Norway rat). RNAcentral's name for it is "uncharacterized LOC102555048". The record is from RNAcentral. Lineage: Eukaryota; Metazoa; Chordata; Mammalia; Rodentia; Muridae.